Molecule: long non-coding RNA, 2626 nt
Filed under: Fragaria vesca (wild strawberry)
Lineage: Eukaryota; Viridiplantae; Streptophyta; Magnoliopsida; Rosales; Rosaceae
Description: long non-coding RNA (FVES_LNC003105)
Source: RNAcentral
AACCUUAAACUUCUGGAGCCUUCGUGCUCCCCAAAUCACAACAUCUCCCAAUUUAAUUUCUAACUUAAACAAGAAAAUCUCAUAGCCAACAGCCACAGUUCAGAGCAACUCUAUUUGAAAGGAAAUGAACUAGAAAUAUAAAAAUGAGCGGAAGCUACACUAUUGACUAUGCCUCUUCUCCAUAUACGUCCGACCUCAACUAUGCAAUCCUGCAAACUGGCCAUUUUUAAAACGAAGAGCCUAGGGGAAAACAUUUGAAAACGAAACGUUAGAGUGAGUGGACAAAAAUAAAUUAACGAAUAAAAUAUUUAUGUUUCCCCAAAUCAAUUUCCAAGGAAAAUCGAAUGCAUGCUGCAAGCGAUAAAACUUUUAUCUCAUAAAUGUCGAGCCUCUCAGGUUCUAUAAUAUAUGUAUGUAUUUACACACGUCCAUACUCCCUAUAUAAAUUCAUGGGUCUAUAUAGGGCUACUACGCUCGCGUCCAACGCUCACGUCACGCCUUAAUGCGGUGCUACACUACGCCAUUAAGGUGGACAGACGGGUGUAUAAACAUGUACCCAUACACCCUAUAUGAAUUAAACACUCAUAUAAGGCUACUACGCUCACGUCCAACGCUCACGUCACACCAUAAUGCGGCUAUAUGCUACGCCAUUAAGGUGGACAGACACAUAUGGCUAGCUAGCUUUUAUAUACGUACUCUCCUCAAUAUACAUAUUUAUACUCACCGAAAAAUCCCAUUUUUCGGUAACUCUCCAAGAGAAAUAAAAGCGUCAAAAAUUAAAUGACGUCAAAACUCUAACAAUUUUAAAUGCUCAACCAAAACCAUAGCAUGCAUAUUAUUUAAAAUAAAAGUCCACUCACAGUAUUAGGCCUAAGCCUUCCAAUGCUCGGAAUACUCCUCGAGCGCUGCCUCCAACUAGUUACACACUCUAGCCAAUCCCACGUCUGACGAUAAACAGAAGAAUAAAUUGGUCAGACCGGACUCCAUCAACAUUAACGGAUCGACUACUUCCUAGUUUGACUAGGAUUUCCUAGGUUGACCAAUAGAUAAAAGAAUCAUUUUCUACUACUAACUUCGCAUCCAAAAUUUAUUCGGUUUCAAACCAAACCUUAACCUGAAAUCGAAGUCACACACUAUCUCCAUGCCUUUAACACACUAAGCAAUUCACUUCCAAAAUCACCACGAAGCCAAUGGUCUAGAUUUUAGGGUUACUAUGGAUAGUAAUCAUAUUAACAAAAAUUAUUUUAUGGUCCCCUAGCUCAAGCCAACCAGCACCAACAAUUUCAACAUUUCGCUUCUACCCAACUUCACACCAACAAUUACUAAGGGCACCCAAAAGGGUUUCCAAGAAUGGAAGUUUCCAUAAAGGGGAAAGUUCCCUAAAAAGAGAUUUUCUAAAUAUGGCAGGUUUUCCUAAACCGUAAACUACCACUUACACGAAAAGAAAAGUCGACAAGCUACCUUCACGGAUUCUACCGGAAUUGCUGCCUCGCCGGAGAUUCCGGCGACUUGCCAGAAAUACUCGUCGGAUUCCGGUGACUUGCCGGAGUUUCGCCAUAGCCUCCCCGUAUUCUUCAGAACUCCAAGUUCUCGACAUGAACACAAACCAAAAAUGCAUCCAAUCAGUCCGAAUAUCCACACAACAACUAUAUAACAUCAAAGGAGAUCAAGAUUACCUUCCAUCGAUCUCAAGUGCUAUCCCAAGAACUCUCCAAGUUGGACUCAAUAUGCCGGACCCCCAAACGUCCACGACCGCUGCCUCAUUCUUCACUGUAACGAAACCAUUCACCUUGGAUCCUCUCUGGUCAAGGGCACCAGACCUCUGCCUUGGUCCCGAUCGAUAUGCAACUCCACCCCUGUCUGUCUCAACUUCACACAAAGCUCGUAGGACCUACCAAAACGCUGAAGAACUCGCCAGAAACCACCGAGCGCCGGUCGCCGGAGCUAGGAGCUCGAAACCCAGAAAACACAGAAAAAGGGGUUUUCAAUUAGGGCACGAUUUGGGGAAAAGAAAGGUACCAACAGGUGAAGGAGGAAGAGAGGAAGAUAACCAUACCUCCCACUCGUCACGCCGUGGUCGGAAUCUCGAGGAUUCAUCGAAAAACAGCCGAGCUUCUCUCCCUCGGAUUGGCUUUGAAUCGAGCUAACUUCGAGUUCUAUGGACCGGGUUAGAUAGAAGAGAAGGAGAGGAAGAGAUUGGUGGUGGCCUCGUCACCAAAGGUGGCCGGACGGCAGCGCUCCGGCGCGGGGGAACGACGGAGAAGAAAGAGAGUGAAGGGAGAGACCGGAGCUCGGGUCAACGCUCCCAAUUGGGUUUGACAAAGUCAACCCAGCUCUUUUUCCUUUAUACUGAAAUCAAUGGUCAAGAUCGAAACCCGACUCAAUCAUACGACUAAGAUUAAAUGAGCAGUUCUAAUUUCAGAAAAUACUCCAAAGCUCCGAAAAUAAACCGAAAAUACCGGAGAACCCGUGUCGAUGCGAACUACGACAUCAAGACCUUAAAAGAAGAAUUUGACAUUUCCAGAAAAACUCAUAAAUAAACUCAAGUGUUAACUUAUAAGUUACUGAGCGCGGUUAAAUUCUCCAGUAACUCGUGAAAUACCUAGUAAAUAGGUAAAAUUUGGGU